UUAAGUCGAUUGAUGCAAGGUGUUCAUACUUUUUGCACAAAGUUACUUGCAAAGAUAGCACAAGUCGGAUGAACAUAUGUGUGUGAUUGUAAUGAUCUUUUCCAUUCUAGUUGCUUAAUUUUUAGCAUGAUUUGUCUACAACACAAGUAAAGUUGCUGCAAAUCUGCAACCUGGAAUCAGUGUUUUUCUUGGAGAUUGUACUGGCUUUUGCCAUCAGGAUUUUUUUGGCAUUCUAGUUGCUUCACUUUUUAGCCACAAGUAGUUUAUUUCCUUAUGCUACAUUAUAUUUCAAUAUAAAUAUAAUGUAGUUUUUUACUGUUUUUAGUAAGUGUUUAUUAGAAAUAGUUUAUUUAGUAAGUGUUUAAUAGAAAUAGUUUAAUCGGUGAGGGAGUGUCCACCAUAUAUGAGCGAAGAAGAAUGCUGACUGUUGUCGUGGGGGUCGCUUCUCCUCCUUCUCCUUGUGCUAGAUAUUUGUUAUGCACUAGGGGAAGUAGGAGUAGAGACCAUCAUCGACGGUCGAAAAAUCGGUGAGGGAGUAUCGACCAUAUAUGAGAGAAGAAGAAUGCCGACUGUUGUCGUGGGG
This 583-nucleotide long non-coding RNA is filed under the name Hordeum vulgare. RNAcentral's name for it is "long non-coding RNA (HVUL_LNC002128)". Lineage: Eukaryota; Viridiplantae; Streptophyta; Magnoliopsida; Poales; Poaceae. The record is from RNAcentral.